This 383-nucleotide ribosomal RNA is filed under the name Cedecea sp. SB52. RNAcentral's name for it is "bacterial SSU rRNA". It matches the Rfam family "Bacterial small subunit ribosomal RNA", at positions 966 to 1349 of the family's 1533-position model. Lineage: Bacteria; Pseudomonadati; Pseudomonadota; Gammaproteobacteria; Enterobacterales; Enterobacteriaceae. The record is from RNAcentral.
GAACCUUACCUACUCUUGACAUCCAGAGAACUUUCCAGAGAUGGAUUGGUGCCUUCGGGAACUCUGAGACAGGUGCUGCAUGGCUGUCGUCAGCUCGUGUUGUGAAAUGUUGGGUUAAGUCCCGCAACGAGCGCAACCCUUAUCCUUUGUUGCCAGCGGUUAGGCCGGGAACUCAAAGGAGACUGCCAGUGAUAAACUGGAGGAAGGUGGGGAUGACGUCAAGUCAUCAUGGCCCUUACGAGUAGGGCUACACACGUGCUACAAUGGCGCAUACAAAGAGAAGCGACCUCGCGAGAGCAAGCGGACCUCAUAAUGUGCGUCGUAGUCCGGAUUGGAGUCUGCAACUCGACUCCAUGAAGUCGGAAUCGCUAGUAAUCGUAGAU